RNAcentral lists this unclassified non-coding RNA (168 nucleotides) under Gibellulopsis sp. Mc4-ITS19. RNAcentral describes it as "sequence contains 18S rRNA gene, ITS1 and 5.8S rRNA gene". The stretch from base 122 to 168 matches the Rfam family "5.8S ribosomal RNA", at positions 1 to 47 of the family's 154-position model. The record is from RNAcentral. Lineage: Eukaryota; Fungi; Ascomycota; Sordariomycetes; Glomerellales; Plectosphaerellaceae.
CCUUUGUGAACCUUCAUACCUGUUGCUUCGGCGGCGCGCCUCUCGGGGCGUGCCCGCCGGCAUUAUCAGAAUCUCUGUUCGAACCCGACGAUACUUCUGAGUGUUCUAAGCGAACUGUUAAAACUUUCAACAACGGAUCUCUUGGCUCCAGCAUCGAUGAAGAACGCA